CCUACGGGAGGCUGCAGUGGGGAAUCUUGCGCAAUGGCCUGACGGCUGACGCAGCGACGCCGCGUGUGGGAGGACGCCCUUCGGGGUGUAAACCACUGUUGCCCGGGACGAACCCGCGGUUUCGACCGCGCUGACGGUACCGGGUGAGGAAGCACCGGCUAACUCCGUGCCAGCAGCCGCGGUAAUACGGAGGGUGCGAGCGUUGUCCGGAAUCACUGGGCGUAAAGGGCGCGUAGGUGGCGGGCCAAGCGUGCGGUGAAAGCCCGGGGCUCAACUCCGGGUCGGCCGUGCGAACUGGCCUGCUCGAGCACGGUAGAGGCAGGUGGAAUUCCGGGUGUAGCGGUGGAAUGCGUAGAGAUCCGGAAGAACACCGGUGGCGAAGGCGGCCUGCUGGGCCGUGGCUGACACUGAGGCGCGACAGCGUGGGGAGCAAACAGGAU
This 440-nucleotide ribosomal RNA is filed under the name uncultured bacterium. Its description in RNAcentral is "bacterial SSU rRNA". It matches the Rfam family "Bacterial small subunit ribosomal RNA", at positions 338 to 778 of the family's 1533-position model. The record is from RNAcentral.